Molecule: long non-coding RNA, 1484 nt
Filed under: Mus musculus (house mouse)
Lineage: Eukaryota; Metazoa; Chordata; Mammalia; Rodentia; Muridae
Description: RIKEN cDNA D330041H03 gene (D330041H03Rik)
Source: RNAcentral
GACUGGUCUAAAGUUUCCUGGACUUGUUUUGCUCAUUCUGAAGCGCGCGAUGAUUGGCUGACCGGCACCAGAGGUUUGUGCUCUUUGGCGCCUACCGGAUCUGUGUGGAUGGAGCUACUCGGGUUGCCUCUGCUGUCAUUAGGAUCUAAGGCACCCUGCUGAGGCCGCGUUAUUGUAGUAAAGGGACAGGCUGGUACGGACGCCCUGGCUGUCCUGGAACUCACUCUGUAGACCAGGCUAGGCUGGCCUAGAACUCAGAAAUCUGCCUGCCUCUGCCUCCCAACUGCUGGGAUUAAAGACGAGCGCCACCGCCCGGUUUGCCUAGCACAUUCUUGCUCCGUUAUUUGCGGAAGAAAGGGAUAUGCACACAAUCCCCGCGGUUAUCUAAGUAGAUUUGAGGCAGGAACGAAGAAAGAGGAACAGAGCUAAGUACACUGUAGCUGUCUUCAGAUGCACCAGAAGAGGGCAUCAGAUCUCAUUGUCUUUGGAAGAGCAGUCGGUGCUCUUAACCACUGAGCCAUCUCUCCAGCCCACGUAUAGUCUGAGCCUUACUUAUCCCAGCAUGUUGCUAACCUAUGGAGGCCAAGAUGGCUAAGGGCCACCAAGCUAGGAUUUCCGGGGACCCAGGGUAUCUGUAGCCCCAGUUUGCUGGAAGACACAUGAAUUGCUGGCCGCAAUUGAGGGCAUUUGAGCCUUGCAGUGAAUCCUGUAAGCUUCCUCUCUGCUAGGAAAGCCAACUCCUGCUUUUGUUUGAAACUUGGUAUGAAAGCCAUAUUGGAUGUGGAACUGGAAGAAUCACAAUAUGUUUAAGUGUAUCCUCAAGAGAUGACACUACUCAGCCCUGUAGUGGUCCCUGACAAUCCUGUGGCCAGUGACUUCUUGAAGGCACAGAGCUAGGAACAGAGGAUGUGCUUCAAGUCUGGCCACAGCUCUCUCUUGUGCUGCCGAUGCUCUGUGGGAUGACAUCUGGCUCAGGAUCAGAUCAGCCCGGUCCACUGUCCAUACUGGAAGGAACAUUGACAUCCAAGGAUGCCUGUGCAGUUGCAUUGGGAGCCAAUGGUCUCAGCACCUAGUCAUAGCCAGUAUCUUCCCUUCAUGAAGGUAUUUGCAACUUUGCUGCUCAUUCCUGGCAGCCUGGAAGUCCUUGUUGCUGCUCAACCCUGUUGGCUUUCUUUCCCCCCCUAGGGGAGCUUAGUGUCAUAUGUAAACAUAGACAGGUCCCUGGGGUCUCUCUGGAUAAGCACUGGAAAGAAGCUCAAUCCCCCAGGCUAGCUGCAGUACCAGCUGGGACCAAGGCCUGUCUGUGUGCACAGCAGGAUGGGGUCUGGGACUGUGGUUCCAGAGACCUGACUUCAGGAGUGGAAACCUGCAUGCUGACUCCUGCCUGCAGGCACUGACAGACACACAUGGUCCACUUUGUGCAUAUCACCUUGAUUGUUUUUCAUGUCCAUCAUAGAAAAGAGUGAUUAAAAAUGAAAGAAAGG